Molecule: ribosomal RNA, 1277 nt
Filed under: human gut metagenome
Description: bacterial LSU rRNA
Rfam family: Bacterial large subunit ribosomal RNA
Source: RNAcentral
UGGCUUAGAAGCAGCCACUCAUUAAAAGAGUGCGUAAUAGCUCACUGGUCGAGUGGUCUUGCGCGGAAAAUAUAACGGGGCUAAGUAUCUAACCGAAGCUUGGGCUUGUGUUAACACAGGGGUAGGGGAGCGUCGAAUACGGGGUGAAGUCAGAGCGGAAGCACUGGUGGACUGUAUUCGAGUGAGAAUGCCGGAAUGAGUAGCGAGAAUUAUGUGGGAAUCAUAAUGGCCGAAAAUCUAAGGUUUCCUGGGGAAGGUUCGUCCGCCCAGGGUUAGUCGGGAGCUAAGGCGAGGCCGCGAGGCGUAGUCGAUGCACAUACGGUUGAAAUUCCGUAACCACCUUAUCGAAUGAAAGCUGACACUUGGAAAUAGCGGGACCCGGAGAUUGGUAGAUCCGGGCGUAAGGGACCGAAUACGAGUAGGGAAGUCCGCGAUGUUCCGAGGCGAGAAAAGGCGAAGGUAGGGUGCCCGUACCGCAAACCGACACAGGUAGAUGAGGAGAGAAUCCUAAGGCCAACGGGAGAAGGGUUGUUAAGGAACUCGGCAAAAUGACCCCGUAACUUCGGGAUAAGGGGAGCCUGUCUAUGGCAGGCCGCAGAGAAUAGGCCCAAGCGACUGUUUACCAAAAACACAGGUCUAUGCUAAAUCGAAAGAUGACGUAUAUGGGCUGACGCCUGCCCGGUGCUGGAAGGUUAAGAGGAGAUGUCAGGCAACGAAGCAUUGAAUCGAAGCCCCAGUAAACGGCGGCCGUAACUAUAACGGUCCUAAGGUAGCGAAAUUCCUUGUCAGGUAAGUUCUGACCCGCACGAAUGGCGUAACGAUUUGGGCACUGUCUCAACAGCCCGCCCGGCGAAAUUGUAGUACCGGUGAAGAUGCCGGUUACCCGCAACUAGACGGAAAGACCCCAUGGAGCUUUACUGCAGCUUAAUACUGGAAUUCGGUAAUUCAUGUACAGGAUAGGUGGGAGACUGGGAACUACUGUCGUCAGGCAGUAGGGAGUCGCCCUUGGGAUACCACUCUUGAAUUGCUGGGUUUCUAACCUGCGGCCGUGAAUCCGGUCGGGGGACACUGUUAGGCAGACAGUUUGACUGGGGCGGUCGCCUCCUAAAAGGUAACGGAGGCGCUCAAAGGUUGGCUCAGCACGGACGGAAAUCGUGCAAUGAGUGUAAACGUAUAAGCCAGCCUAACUGCGAGACCGACGGGUCGAGCAGUAACGAAAGUUGGAGUUAGUGAUCCGGUGGUAUGUGAGUGGAAAUGCCAUCGCUCAACGGAUAAAA